This 393-nucleotide ribosomal RNA is filed under the name Triticum aestivum (bread wheat). Its description in RNAcentral is "partial small subunit ribosomal RNA". The record is from RNAcentral. Lineage: Eukaryota; Viridiplantae; Streptophyta; Magnoliopsida; Poales; Poaceae.
UUUGGGUUAUUUCUAUUGUUUGUCUUGGAUCAAAAUAGAAAAGUUGUCUCAAUUUUCGAUCCGAUACCAAUACCUACUUUCGGAAAGAAUGUACUUAAAACCGUGGCCGACAAUCUAAACCUUGCGCUUGAAGUUGCAAACCCUACAUUCAAGGACGAUAUCUCUAAAUGGGAAUGCAUAGUUCCUGAUGCUCCAACAAACUCACACUGCGCCCUGUCUGGUUAUUUGGUUUUUAAUUACAUGCACUCAUUAUGCGAUGGAAAGCUAUAUUUUCCCAUACCCCAGGAUGGUUUUCAACUGAGGAAGCAAUUUUUGGUGCAUAUUUUAAAGUACGAAGAGAAUGAAGCUCAAAACAAUAUCCCAUACAUUGAACGAAGCAUCGUUGAUCGCAUC